This is a long non-coding RNA of Salvia splendens (bonfire salvia), 3998 nucleotides long. RefSeq lists it as uncharacterized. The transcript is spliced from 4 exons. Lineage: Eukaryota; Viridiplantae; Streptophyta; Magnoliopsida; Lamiales; Lamiaceae. The record is from RefSeq and is a predicted model, not a curated record.
CAUCAACAUGUUUAUUUGUACUUUGUAGAUGUAAAAUCUUGGGAUCUCUCUCAGUAGACAUGUUACUAAAGCAGAUUGAAGCUAUUGUUUGUUAGUUAGGGAUUUUCUGGCAAUAAGUGGUUAUGCAAUAUUUGAACUGUUUAAUAUUCUUUUCAAAUAUUUGUGGUGAUGAUCAGAUCAUGCUUUGUUUAUUAUGUUCUCUGAUGGUGGCCUCCGUAAUCAGUUUUGCUUUUGCUAAACCUUCAUUUUCUACAUCCUGGUUGUGGGACUUAUGUACAAUAGGAUGCAAUUUAUUAUGGCUUCGUUCCGUUCUGUUCCGUGUGAAUGCGUAAUCAAUGAAUUACAUGGUUUAUAGCUCAAUCUGAUGAUGGUGUUGGUUAUGAAAUUUUCAAAUUUUUGAAUUAGUACAGGUUUUGUAGGAUGUUAGCCUCCUCAAGAUGGGGAAGUCUCCUGGAAAAUGGAUCAAGGGCAUUACUUUUGGUGAAAAAGGAUCUAAGUCUAGUUUAAGAGAGCAUCCUGUAAGUUUCAAUUUGUAUUUUCAAUCUAUACUUUUUCUUUGGUUUCAAUCACAACUAUCAUUUGUGAGACAUCUAUGUGUAAAGUAAUGUUCCUAUGUAUGAUCAUUUCUCUUAAUUGUUAUUCUACAAACAAGAUGCAUCAGCUGUUGUUUCCUCUAUUUGAAAGAAUCUUAAACUCUGCACUGUCUAUGUUAUGUGUAUUUUGGGUGAGGUAUAUGUAAUAGUACCUCUGUAUAAGAAGAAAUAUGUAUUGAAGAAACCAUAGGUGAAAUAUGUAUUCAAGAAAAUUAUGUAAGCAAAACCAGAAGACAUUAAAGGAAGCCUGUAAGAUCUACAGCCCCUAUACCCUCGGAGCAAACGUUUAACACUCCAACUUGUAAAUUAGUGGAGGAAAAAACUGCAUCGCCCCAGUCAAGGUGAGAGCUCUAGUCUCCCCAAGGUUUGGACAAGAUGCAACUGAAAGCAAUUCUCUGCCAUCUUCCAUUAGUGGGAAACUGAUUUCAUCACCAAGAGUUCACAAGCUGGCUCAAUCUAAUGGCAAAUAACGAACCAAAAUUGAUAGAUCCAUGUCUUCCUCAAAAAAAUUGCAGGUAAGAGCUGCACUUAGUUAAUUAUGUGUUAAUAAUUUGUUAGUUCCAUGCAAUUACUUUGUUUUACCUCUAUUUGAAGAUUCAGCUCAACAUAUGAUACUGAGUAGUUACUGCUUUUCCCUAUAUCUUGGACCGUAUGAAAUACUAGCAUUUUUCCAGAAAUCCAUAUUUUUUUUAAAGUAACCUUUGCUGCAAACUGGACAAAUUCAUACAAUGAGAUAAUCCAUAUUUAUUUCUUGGAUUUCUCUCAUUAUAAUAAGUGUCUAUGAAGUAAGAGCAAUCAUAGACAUUUUUAGGUGCUUGCUUUCUACAUAUCUUAAUUUUGAGUUUGGUUAUAAAGAUGGCAUGUUGACUCCUUUCCUUUGGUAUUGUUUUCUCAUGUUUCACCGUUUGCAUAACAUGAUACACAUUUUGCAUUUAAUAGCUUCCCAUAGUUCUUCAACUGACUUUUUUACCUGAGUGAUCUAUUUGUGAUUUGUCUGUUGGACUUAAGAAUAGAUUUGACCAUGACAAGGGACUUGAACCAUUUUUGCAAAUGUCACGACUCACGUUUGUGGUUACCUUCUUUCUGCUCCCAAUCUUUCUGCUCAAGUUGCUUGGUAGAUGAGCUGGAAAGGGUGGAUUAUAUAUGUGAUCCCAUUUAGACAGUGAGAAACUGUGCAACAGUCAAAUGCAGUUAAUAUCUCCACAGGAGUUCCCCCAAACACUUCAGCGAGCAUUACUCAUCCCAGAAAAUACUCAAUGAAGCGACUGGGAGGACUCUGGUCGAGACCUGAUAUUUAUCAGUUGUUUGAAGCUGAAUCUAUUCGGACACUGGCAUUCUUACUAUGCUGAUGCAUCUGGCUUGAAUUGCAGUGUUUUCUUUCUUUUUUCCUAAGAUGACCCACCCUUUUCAGUUGCGAUGGAGCAGAGGAGUGGAGGAGUCUUUGAUGGAAGUGUAAACCAUGCAUAUCAGACAGAAUUACCCAGAAGGUCCAGAGCAUAUUUGGUUGGAAUCACAAAAGGUGAAACUGUAAGAAAUGGAGCAUGUCUUUUGAUUCCAUGGAUAAUGGAAAAGGUGAUACCCUUUUUUGUAUAUGGGCUACUUUCUCGACCAGGUUCAGACUCUCACUACUUAUUUACUGGAUACUCUGUAUAAACAAAUUAGUACUCACAUUACUAGAAUUUAAAAAGGGGAGAAACUUACCAGUACAUAAAUAAUGGUAAGAUUAAAUUCCUUUUAAUGACAGUAAUGAGUAGUAGUGCAUUCUAUAACAAAUGUACUUUUUUGGAAUGGCUGACUUAAUUAUUUCAUCCCACCGAUUUGAAAUUAUUUGAAUAUGUAAAAAUCUCAUAUUGUAUUUUCGUAGAUAUACCACAAGCUUUAAAGCCUUAAUUAAAGCUUAUUGUCCAAGUAUCACCCCAACUCAAAAAAAAGAAGAUAAAAGAUGAAUUAUAAAUAUGCUGGAACUAAUUAGGAACAACAAUUAUAAUUAAUCUCACCGUGGAUUAUUUCGUUUCUAUUAGUUUUCACGAUCCAAUGUAGAGAUAUUUUGCCAUAUUUAAGUUUCUUUUCUUUCGUUGUUCACAUUUUAGCAAGGGGCGCCUUAAUUCAACUGAAAAGAGGACCCCCUUUCCCUUCGACAGAUCCUUGCUCACAAUUUUCUAUUACUAUUGAGAAAAUUAAUUAAUGGGUCAAAAUAGCCCAUUAUUUUACAAAAUUCAAUUAAAAAUUAGUAAUCCUACUAUAUAAACUCACAUUUUUAUUUGUAAAGUAGUUUUUAUAAUUUCAUGAUGCAGCUGGAUAAUGUACGUAGUUGAUAGGUUUACUAGUCUCAUUUAUUAUCAUGCAUCACACUAGUAAAGCUUGCAUCAGAGUGUGUAUGAUGUUGAGUUUGAUGAACACAUGGAAAUAGUUGGCGACAGAGCUAGAAAACUGAGGGAUCAAGGAUUCUAAUUCAAAUAGAUUGUUAAAUCAUAUAAUUUGACCCAUGUUUGUGACCAGGUUCAGAAACUGCCAUUUUAAUUAGGGCAAAGAAAAAGCUUCACAUGUUUGAUUCUUGGUACGGUGUUAGUCCCUCUAUAUGUAUAAAUAUAGGCAACAAGAAGCCUUUGCAUUACUAUUAUUACAACAUUCUAGUACAUUGUGAUUGGUGACUGAAGUUUCCUCAAACUACUUCACUAGAAAUAAAACAGUUCCAUUUCCUAGUGAAGUGUUUGGGGGAACUUUGGGCUGCCUCACAGAUUUUGAGCAUUCUGUUUCCUUUUUAUUUUUUAUUAUCUAAUUCUGAUUCUUUAGGGAAUGCACAAGGCAAAGAGAUACUUGCCGCUGGUCCAAGUGGGGUGGAACCUCGCGAGGCCUAUUGAAUAGCCAGGCCCGAUGAAGAUGCACCCGUAGCUAGACGACGCUCCUCCAUACACGGUGGCUCCCGUCUCGAAUGUCCAAAUUAUAGCCCCUGUCCUUGCAUCCAUUGCGUAGACGGAGCCAGUUGGCGCCAUCGACCCUGCAAACAGGACUUCAUUGACAAUGGUGAAUGGCCCAUGGGCAGUUUCGUUGCUUGGGUUAGCCGUGGUCCAUAGGAUUUCCCCAGCAGUGGUGUUUCGGGUAGAUGGCUUCAGAGUGAAGGGCUCAUUGUUGGAAUUCAGUAUGUUCGUAUACACGCGCAAUCCAUCACUAGCUGCCUGCACCCCAUACCCCUCCUCCUUCUAGUCCUCCGGGGCCCGCUCUCUGUGUAUUCAUAAACAUGAGCAAAAAUUACAAAUAUGGUCAUCAUCUUGAUAGAACGAGGUUCCAUCUUAAAGUCAAUAGGUGAUAAGUGUAGUAGCCCAUAAGACUAUAAUAGUUUCACUUAUCUUUUUACAUCAAUUUACCAUUCAUCAACACAAAUAUAAUUAAAGACUUACAUAUGUC